CGGGGAGUGGCUCAGCUUGGCUAGAGCGUGUCGUUCGGGACGACAAGGCCGGCGGUUCAAAUCCGCCCUCCCCGACUA
This 78-nucleotide transfer RNA is filed under the name Omnitrophica WOR_2 bacterium RIFOXYB2_FULL_45_11. Its description in RNAcentral is "tRNA-Pro". It matches the Rfam family "tRNA". Rfam says of the family: Transfer RNA (tRNA) molecules are approximately 80 nucleotides in length. The record is from RNAcentral. RNAcentral also lists the same sequence under 1 other name. Lineage: Bacteria; Pseudomonadati; Candidatus Omnitrophota.